CUUGUUGGUGAGGUAACGGCUCACCAAGGCUUCGACGGGUAGCCGGCCUGAGAGGGCGACCGGCCACACUGGGACUGAGAUACGGCCCAGACUCCUACGGGAGGCAGCAGUGGGGAAUAUUGCACAAUGGGCGCAAGCCUGAUGCAGCAACGCCGCGUGCGGGAUGACGGCCUUCGGGCUGUAAACCGCUUUCAGUUCCGACGAAGCGCAAGUGACGGUAGGAACAGAAGAAGGACCGGCCAACUACGUGCCAGCAGCCGCGGUGAUACGUAGGGUCCGAGCGUUGUCUGGAAUUAUUGGGCGUAAAGGGCUUGUAGGCGGUUUGUCACGUCGAAAGUGAAAACUCAGGGCUUAACCCUGAGCCUGCUUCCGAUACGGGCAAACUAGAGGGAUGCAGGGGAGAAUGGAAUUCCUGGUGGAGCGGUGGAAUGCGCAGAUAUCAGGAGGAACACCGGUGGCGAAGGCGGUUCUUUGGGCAUUUCCUGACGCUGAGAAGCGAAAGCGUGGGGAGCAAACAGGCUUAGAUACCCUGGUAGUCCACGCCGUAAACGGUGGGCACUAGGUGUGGGGAACAUUCCACGUUCUCCGUGCCGAAGCUAACGCAUUAAGUGCCCCGCCUGGGGAGUACGGCCGCAAGGCUAAAACUCAAAGGAAUUGACG
This 660-nucleotide ribosomal RNA is filed under the name uncultured Actinomycetes bacterium. RNAcentral describes it as "SSU rRNA". It matches the Rfam family "Bacterial small subunit ribosomal RNA", at positions 245 to 915 of the family's 1533-position model. The record is from RNAcentral. Lineage: Bacteria; Bacillati; Actinomycetota; Actinomycetes.